AUGAUACUCCCUCCGUUCGGAAUUACUUGUCUCGGAAAUGGAUGUAUCUAGAAUUAAAAUACGUCUAGAUACAUCCAUGUGUGCGACAAGUAAUUCCGAACGAAGGGAGUAGAAC
Molecule: non-coding RNA, 115 nt
Organism: Triticum aestivum (bread wheat)
Lineage: Eukaryota; Viridiplantae; Streptophyta; Magnoliopsida; Poales; Poaceae
Source: Rfam